This 24-nucleotide unclassified non-coding RNA is filed under the name Mus musculus (house mouse). RNAcentral's name for it is "oocyte_clustered_small_RNA4742". Lineage: Eukaryota; Metazoa; Chordata; Mammalia; Rodentia; Muridae. The record is from RNAcentral.
UGCCUAAGAACUGGUUGUUGAGAU